UCCCUGGAGCUGUUUCCUGCAGCUCUCCCUGCCUUGCUGCUCUCUCAACCCCACUGGGAUCCGACCAGCCUGGACCCCUCUCAUCCCUACUGCCCCCUGAAGGGAAUGAACGCCCCACAGGGGGGAUGCCACGCUCCUCUCCAGACUCCACAGGGCCACCCAAGCAACCAGCAGGCUAUCACACUGUGACAUAAUCAACAACCUUGGAAAAUAUUGAGGCAUGGAUUUGAAUAUAAGUGUGUUUAUGAAGCUGCUCUACCUGCUGAUUAAAUUUCAAGCUCGGAAUUCAGCCACAUGGAGAUACGGUUCUGAGCAGGAGGACCCUGAAGACAUACCUGUUUUCCCAGGACUUCAACUGAGAUUCAAUUUUUAAAUGUUAAUGUGUUUUUAUCUAUGAUUUUUAUCUUUUUAUGAAUUUUAAAUGUGAUAUAUUUUGUUUUAAUUCUGUACACUGCCUAGAGAUUUUUAUAAUAGGUGGUAUAUAAAUUCAAUAAAUAACAACAAUAACAAUAACAAAAUAAGGCAUU
Long non-coding RNA from Hemicordylus capensis (graceful crag lizard), 527 nucleotides. RefSeq lists it as uncharacterized. The record is from RefSeq and is a predicted model, not a curated record. The transcript is spliced from 3 exons. NCBI's taxonomy places the organism in Eukaryota, Metazoa, Chordata, Lepidosauria, Squamata, Cordylidae.